GUAAUAGUGUGUAGUCACAUUCUGACCUCGGUAUGUGUGUGUGUGUGUGUGUGUGGACCCGCCGAUCCUCUCGCGAGGGCCGGCGGACGAUGUGUGCACAAGUGUGUGUGUGUGUGUAGCGUUCGAUAAUGAUCCUUCCGCAGGUUCACCUACGGAAA
Molecule: unclassified non-coding RNA, 158 nt
Filed under: uncultured fungus
Lineage: Eukaryota; Fungi
Description: sequence contains ITS1
Source: RNAcentral